Molecule: ribosomal RNA, 1054 nt
Filed under: uncultured Cryobacterium sp.
Lineage: Bacteria; Bacillati; Actinomycetota; Actinomycetes; Micrococcales; Microbacteriaceae
Description: bacterial SSU rRNA
Rfam family: Bacterial small subunit ribosomal RNA
Source: RNAcentral
UCCUACGGGAGGCAGCAGUGGGGAAUAUUGCACAAUGGGCGCAAGCCUGAUGCAGCAACGCCGCGUGAGGGACGAAGGCCUUCGGGUUGUAAACCUCUUUUAGUAGGGAAGAAGCGACUGGGUUUUCCUGGGAGUGACGGUACCUGCAGAAAAAGCACCGGCUAACUACGUGCCAGCAGCCGCGGUAAUACGUAGGGUGCAAGCGUUGUCCGGAAUUAUUGGGCGUAAAGAGCUCGUAGGCGGUUUGUCGCGUCUGCUGUGAAAACCCGAGGCUCAACCUCGGGCCUGCAGUGGGUACGGGCAGACUAGAGUGCGGUAGGGGAGAUUGGAAUUCCUGGUGUAGCGGUGGAAUGCGCAGAUAUCAGGAGGAACACCAAUGGCGAAGGCAGAUCUCUGGGCCGUAACUGACGCUGAGGAGCGAAAGCAUGGGGAGCGAACAGGAUUAGAUACCCUGGUAGUCCAUGCCGUAAACGUUGGGAACUAGAUGUGGGGACCAUUCCACGGUCUCCGUGUCGCAGCUAACGCAUUAAGUUCCCCGCCUGGGGAGUACGGCCGCAAGGCUAAAACUCAAAGGAAUUGACGGGGGCCCGCACAAGCGGCGGAGCAUGCGGAUUAAUUCGAUGCAACGCGAAGAACCUUACCAAGGCUUGACAUAUACCGGAAACGGCUGGAAACAGUCGCCCCGCAAGGUCGGUAUACAGGUGGUGCAUGGUUGUCGUCAGCUCGUGUCGUGAGAUGUUGGGUUAAGUCCCGCAACGGGCGCAACCCUCGUCCUAUGUUGCCAGCACGUAAUGGUGGGAACUCAUGGGAUACUGCCGGGGUCAACUCGGAGGAAGGUGGGGAUGACGUCAAAUCAUCAUGCCCCUUAUGUCUUGGGCUUCACGCAUGCUACAAUGGCCGGUACAAAGGGCUGCGAUACCGCAAGGUGGAGCGAAUCCCAAAAAGCCGGUCUCAGUUCGGAUUGAGGUCUGCAACUCGACCUCAUGAAGUCGGAGUCGCUAGUAAUCGCAGAUCAGCAACGCUGCGGUGAAUACGUUCCCGGGCCUUGUACACA